CCUGCCCCGCGGCGCCCGCAGCCUGCCACGGAGGCUCCGACCUGCGGGACAGAACACGCACGACCCGCUACUGUUAUUUUCUACGUGAGCAAACUGAGAAGCUGUGUCAUCACUGGGUGGAUAAGAUCAUCUCUGACGUGGGAGGUGCUGUGACGCUGCGUGGUGUGGCUGAUUUCCAGUUAAAGAAAAGAAACUGACUAAGCUGAAAUUAUGACUCACUUUCCUUUUCAUGGAACACAGCAGUGAAGUUUGGUUUCAAAGGAAACAACAGUUGGAACACAAAACAAUUAGAGAUGCAUUUUCAAAUUGUGAUCAAUAACCUGUUGCCUUUAUUCUAGUGUUCAGAUAAAAAUAAAACUCUUAUCUAUAUCCACUAAAGCACCAAGGAAAACCAUGAGAUGUGGCUGAAAGAUUAAUAAAAAGCCAGUUAAUUAAUAUUGA
Long non-coding RNA from Limanda limanda (common dab), 441 nucleotides. RefSeq lists it as uncharacterized. NCBI's taxonomy places the organism in Eukaryota, Metazoa, Chordata, Actinopteri, Pleuronectiformes, Pleuronectidae. The record is from RefSeq and is a predicted model, not a curated record. The transcript has 2 exons.